AGUGAACGCUGGCGGUAGGCCUAACACAUGCAAGUCGAACGGCAGCACAGUAAGAGCUUGCUCUUACGGGUGGCGAGUGGCGGACGGGUGAGGAAUAAAUCGGAAUCUACUUUUUCGUGGGGGAUAACGUAGGGAAACUUACGCUAAUACCGCAUACGACCUACGGGUGAAAGCAGGGGAUCUUCGGACCUUGCGCGAUUGAAUGAGCCGAUGUCGGAUUAGCUAGUUGGCGGGGUAAAGGCCCACCAAGGCGACGAUCCGUAGCUGGUCUGAGAGGAUGAUCAGCCACACAGGAACUGAGACACGGUCCAGACUCCUACGGGAGGCAGCAGUGGGGAAUAUUGGACAAUGGGCGCAAGCCUGAUCCAGCCAUACCGCGUGGGUGAAGAAGGCCUUCGGGUUGUAAAGCCCUUUUGUUGGGAAAGAAAAGCAGCAGGUUAAUACCCCGCUGUUCUGACGGUACCCAAAGAAUAAGCACCGGCUAACUGCGU
Molecule: ribosomal RNA, 491 nt
Filed under: uncultured bacterium
Lineage: Bacteria
Description: partial 16S ribosomal RNA
Rfam family: Bacterial small subunit ribosomal RNA
Source: RNAcentral